AACGAACGCUGGCGGCAGGCUUUAGACAUGCAAGUCGAGCGAGAAGCUAUCUUCGGAUAGUGGACAGCGGCGGACGGGUGAGUAAUGCAUGGGAAUAUGCCUUUUGGUACGGAAUAGCCCUUGGAAACGAGGAAUAAUACCGUAUGUGCCCUACGGGGGAAAGAUUUAUCGCCAAAAGAUUAGCCCAUGUUGGAUUAGCUUGUUGGUGGGGUAAUGGCCCACCAAGGCGACGAUCCAUAGCUGGUUUGAGAGGAUGAUCAGCCACACUGGGACUGAGACACGGCCCAGACUCCUACGGGAGGCAGCAGUCGGGAAUAUUAGACAAUGGGCGCAAGCCUGAUCUAGCCAUGCCGCGUGAGUGAAGAAGGCCCUAGGGUUGUAAAGCUCUUUCAGAUGUGAGGAUGAUGACAGUAACAUCAGAAGAAGCCCCGGCUAACUUCG
Molecule: ribosomal RNA, 441 nt
Filed under: uncultured Kiloniellales bacterium
Lineage: Bacteria; Pseudomonadati; Pseudomonadota; Alphaproteobacteria; Rhodospirillales
Description: bacterial SSU rRNA
Rfam family: Bacterial small subunit ribosomal RNA
Source: RNAcentral